Molecule: transfer RNA, 93 nt
Organism: Oidiodendron maius Zn
Lineage: Eukaryota; Fungi; Ascomycota; Leotiomycetes; Myxotrichaceae
Rfam family: tRNA
About the family: Transfer RNA (tRNA) molecules are approximately 80 nucleotides in length. Their secondary structure includes four short double-helical elements and three loops (D, anti-codon, and T loops).
Source: Rfam
GCUCCAAUGGCGCAAUGGUAGCGCGCGAGACUUCUACUUUGCUCCAUUAGACGAGUUAUCUCGAGGCUGUGGGUUCGAGUCCCACUUGGAGUG